Non-coding RNA from Pteropus alecto (black flying fox), 37 nucleotides. The record is from Rfam. Lineage: Eukaryota; Metazoa; Chordata; Mammalia; Chiroptera; Pteropodidae.
CUGCAUUGGGGACAAACAGAAUAAAGACUUCAUGUUC